CCUCCUCUGUGACGGAAGAGGCACGGCCACGUUAUCCGAGAGGCGUAAAAGGCGUCCUAAGGGAAGCACCCCGCCGUGUUCACUCAGAAGUCAGUUCAAGAGUUAAGCGUGCUUAGUAUCGGAGCAGCCUCACGCAGCCUGUCGCUGUUGCUCGUUUGUCUCUGGGCGGGAGAAAGUGCGUGUUUGUUUCACCGACAACACCCAGCCGGGCUUUCCAAAGACAUUUAAGGAGCAGCACAGGGGCCGGCAGCGACUCGUGGACCAACAGCCCCCUCACAGACAGCAGUUGCUGCCGCCUGUAAAACGCAGCACCACUCCCUCACCUUGCCACUUUCAGGUGCAGUCAGCGCUAGGGUCACUCGCCCUUUCGCCCCUCUUCUCCCCGUGUAAGUGCGUCUGCUCAUGCUAUCGCUUCCACGAGCCCUGCUCUACACAAAUUAGAAAUCAGCACUGUGCGCACGCGCCUUCCCUUCUGACGCUUCUAAAAGAGCCCGAGCCCACGGGGAUAGACCCUCCUUUGGGGGCGUGUCGGCCGUAGUUGAGCGGUAGUGCCGCGUCAUACAGGGGCAAACCACAAUUUCCAGCGCCUUCAAUCAGUCCAUGUUAGGGUUGAUUGCCGAAGUGUGUUGAGUUGCAGUUUGUUCGCACAACGCAGCUUUCGCAUUUAAUCCUGGGGGUAUCACCAGAAUCGGGAUUCACGGGCGGUUGGAGAAUAAGCUUGUUAAAGUUUUUUUUUUAAAAAAAACAAGUAUUUGCAGAGCUGGAUGGUACUACAGGAAAAGGUGGAGGACACACACAUAGUUUUAUGGCCCUUUCUGUCUUUGUUUUAAGAAAGAGAGUCCCCUAGACAGCUAUGUCAAAAAGCCUCAGUAAAAAAGAAAGCUGACAGCAGUGAUUGGAAAACGGUAGUGUGCUGAAUGCUAUUAGUCUACAAUUCCCAUCUCCUCUGAUUAUUAGUCACGCUGAGUGGGGCUGAUGGGAGUUAAUCCAACAAACACCUUGCAGGGCACAGAUACCCCAUUUCUGAGCACUGAUUACAGUAAGGCACAGUACUGCCUAGGGCUGAUGGAUUGUUGUCCAAAACACAUGGAGACCACAGGCUGGUGAAGGCUGCAAUAAGGUUUAGAUUGCAGGGUUCAAGCGAGAGAUCCUGUGGAUCAGAAUCUGGAUGGCAUCUGCACCUAUGCUUGCUUUAAUCAGAAGAAUGGGACCGUCCCGUUCCAGUUGACAGCAGCACCCUCCCACUUAGUUCGGAUUGCCAUUUUGACAGAAGGGAGUCUCUUUUCUGAAGCACCAUCCUCCUCACAGUGCUUUUCUUCCCAAUGAUGAGAAUGAGUGUCUGAAAUAAAAACAAACA
This is a long non-coding RNA of Rhineura floridana, 1357 nucleotides long. RefSeq lists it as uncharacterized. The record is from RefSeq and is a predicted model, not a curated record. The transcript has 3 exons. Lineage: Eukaryota; Metazoa; Chordata; Lepidosauria; Squamata; Rhineuridae.